GACGUAGGGGGCCAGCGUUGUUCGGAAUUACUGGGUGUAAAGGGUUCGUAGGCGGUGCGGCAAGUUGGGAGUGAAAUCUCUGGGCUUAACCCAGAGGCUGCUUCCAAAACUGCUGUGCUUGAGUGUGGGAGAGGCGCGUGGAAUUGCAGGUGUAGCGGUGAAAUGCGUAGAUAUCGGGAGGAACACCAGUGGCGAAGGCGACUUCCUGGCCUGUUCUUGACGCUGAGGCGCGAAAGCUAGGGUAGCAAACGGG
RNAcentral lists this ribosomal RNA (253 nucleotides) under uncultured bacterium. Its description in RNAcentral is "partial 16S ribosomal RNA". It matches the Rfam family "Bacterial small subunit ribosomal RNA", at positions 524 to 776 of the family's 1533-position model. The record is from RNAcentral.